RNAcentral lists this ribosomal RNA (254 nucleotides) under uncultured bacterium. Its description in RNAcentral is "partial 16S ribosomal RNA". It matches the Rfam family "Bacterial small subunit ribosomal RNA", at positions 524 to 776 of the family's 1533-position model. The record is from RNAcentral.
UACGUAGGGUGCGAGCGUUGUCCGGAAUUAUUGGGCGUAAAGAGCUCGUAGGCGGUGUGUCGCGUCGGCCGUGAAAACCUGGGGACUUAACUCUGGGCGUGCGGUCGAUACGGGCAUCACUGGAGUUCGGCAGGGGAGACUGGAAUUCCUGGUGUAGCGGUGAAAUGCGCAGAUAUCAGGAGGAACACCGGUGGCGAAGGCGGGUCUCUGGGCAACACUGACGCUGAGGAGCGAAAGCGUGGGGAGCGAACAGG